UUUUAUGGAGAGUUUGAUCCUGGCUCAGGAUGAACGCUGGCGGCGUGCCUAAUACAUGCAAGUCGAGCGAACGGACGAGAAGCUUGCUUCUCUGAUGUUAGCGGCGGACGGGUGAGUAACACGUGGAUAACCUACCUAUAAGACUGGGAUAACUUCGGGAAACCGGAGCUAAUACCGGAUAAUAUUUUGAACCGCAUGGUUCAAAAGUGAAAGACGGUCUUGCUGUCACUUAUAGAUGGAUCCGCGCUGCAUUAGCUAGUUGGUAAGGUAACGGCUUACCAAGGCAACGAUGCAUAGCCGACCUGAGAGGGUGAUCGGCCACACUGGAACUGAGACACGGUCCAGACUCCUACGGGAGGCAGCAGUAGGGAAUCUUCCGCAAUGGGCGAAAGCCUGACGGAGCAACGCCGCGUGAGUGAUGAAGGUCUUCGGAUCGUAAAACUCUGUUAU
Molecule: ribosomal RNA, 450 nt
Filed under: Staphylococcus aureus
Lineage: Bacteria; Bacillati; Bacillota; Bacilli; Caryophanales; Staphylococcaceae
Description: bacterial SSU rRNA
Rfam family: Bacterial small subunit ribosomal RNA
Source: RNAcentral